Molecule: ribosomal RNA, 247 nt
Filed under: Klebsiella pneumoniae
Lineage: Bacteria; Pseudomonadati; Pseudomonadota; Gammaproteobacteria; Enterobacterales; Enterobacteriaceae
Description: partial 16S ribosomal RNA
Rfam family: Bacterial small subunit ribosomal RNA
Source: RNAcentral
UCAGUCCGGAUUGGAGUCUGCAACUCGACUCCAUGAAGUCGGAAUCGCUAGUAAUCGCAGAUCAGCAUUGCUGCGGUGAAUACGUUCCCGGGCCUUGUACACACCGCCCGUCACACCAUGGGAGUUUGUUGCACCAGAAGCAGGUAGCUUAACCUUCGGGAGGGCGCUUGCCACGGUGUGGCCGAUGACUGGGGUGAAGUCGUAACAAGGUAGCCGUAUCGGAAGGUGCGGCUGGAUCACCUCCUUU